UCCUCCAGCAAUGGGCAAAAAGACACCUUGUCAGUGGUAUUCUUAUAUCAGUCAGGGGCAAAACAGAUGGCAGUCCAUUGUUCAUUCUAAUUUGAUGCUUGGUUUGGUAGCCAAAGCUGUCUUAUACCAAGGACUCAUAA
Small nucleolar RNA from Grammomys surdaster, 140 nucleotides. RefSeq annotates it as small nucleolar RNA SNORA48. The transcript has a single exon. Lineage: Eukaryota; Metazoa; Chordata; Mammalia; Rodentia; Muridae. The record is from RefSeq and is a predicted model, not a curated record.